Molecule: ribosomal RNA, 453 nt
Filed under: uncultured bacterium
Lineage: Bacteria
Description: bacterial SSU rRNA
Rfam family: Bacterial small subunit ribosomal RNA
Source: RNAcentral
UACGGAAGGCAGCAGUGGGGAAUAUUGCACAAUGGGCGAAAGCCUGAUGCAGCUAUGCCGCGUGUAUGAAGAAGGCCUUAGGGUUGUAAAGUACUUUCAUCGGGGAGGAAAAACAAAACUAAUAAUUUUAUUUCUUGACGUUACCCGAAAAAGAAGCACCGGCUAACUCCGUGCCAGCAGCCGCGGUAAUACGGAGGGUGCUAGUGUUAAUCAGAAUUACUGGGCGUAAAGAGCACGUAGGUGGUUUUUUAAGUCAGAUGUGAAAUCCCUGGGCUUAACCUAGGAACUGCAUUUGAAACUGAAAUACUAGAGUAUCGUAGAGGGAGGUAGAAUUCUAGGUGUAGCGGUGAAAUGCGUAGAUAUCUGGAGGAAUACCUGUGGCGAAAGCGGCCUCCUAAACGAAUACUGACACUGAGGUGCGAAAGCGUGGGGAGCAAACAGGAGUUAGAUACC